This 502-nucleotide ribosomal RNA is filed under the name uncultured bacterium. RNAcentral describes it as "bacterial SSU rRNA". It matches the Rfam family "Bacterial small subunit ribosomal RNA", at positions 8 to 507 of the family's 1533-position model. The record is from RNAcentral.
AGAGUUUGAUCAUGGCUCAGAUUGAACGCUGGCGGCAUGCCUUACACAUGCAAGUCGAACGGUAACGGGCCUUCGGGUGCGACGAGUGGCGAACGGGUGAGUAAUGCAUCGGAACGUACCUUUCAGUGGGGGAUAACGUAGCGAAAGUUACGCUAAUACCGCAUAUUCUGUGAGCAGGAAAGCAGGGGAUCGCAAGACCUUGCGCUGAUUGAGCGGCCGAUGUCAGAUUAGCUAGUUGGUGAGGUAAAGGCUCACCAAGGCGACGAUCUGUAGCGGGGUCUGAGAGGAUGAUCCGCCACACUGGAACUGAGACACGGUCCAGACUCCUACGGGAGGCAGCAGUGGGGAAUUUUGGACAAUGGGGGCAACCCUGAUCCAGCCAUGCCGCGUGAGUGGAGAAGGCCUUCGGGUUGUAAAGCUCUUUCGGCCGGGAAGAAAUCGCAUGGGUUAAUACCCUGUGCGGAUGACGGUACCGGCAUAAGAAGCACCGGCUAACUACGUG